Molecule: long non-coding RNA, 279 nt
Organism: Camelus dromedarius (Arabian camel)
Lineage: Eukaryota; Metazoa; Chordata; Mammalia; Artiodactyla; Camelidae
Exons: 3
Source: RefSeq, a predicted model, not a curated record
CACAGGUGAGGUCCUGUGGUCAGACAAUCCUUCUUCCUUAUCAAGGGGACCGGUUGUAGGCUCUCAGCUACAGUUUGCCUUCCCCUCCAGAGAGACGUGGUACACUUUACCUGGCUACCCAUGGGAUACCUCAACAACUCUGCCAUUGCAGUCUUUGCAGGCAAUACCUUAACUGCGUCCAGUUGUCUCCAGGAGCACAGGAGAAUUCAGAGGCUGAGGGAAUCUCUUUUGGUAUUUCAUGGUGCAGCCCAGGGGAAGAAGUGAUGCAGGUAUAAUGUG